UAGUCCACGCCGUAAACAAUGGACACUUGGUGUUGGAGGUAUUGACCCCUUCAGUGCCGGAGCUAACGCGUUAAGUGUCCCGCCUGGGGAGUACGGUCGCAAGAUUAAAACUCAAAGAAAUUGACGGGGGCCCGCACAAGCGGUGGAGCAUGUGGUUUAAUUCGAUGCAACGCGAAAUACCUUACCUGGGUUUGAAUUGCAGUGGACCACGCCAGAGAUGGCGUUUCUCUUCGGAGUCGCUGUGAAGGUGCUGCAUGGCUGUCGUCAGCUCGUGUCGUGAGAUGUUGGGUUAAGUCCCGCAACGAGCGCAACCCUUACCUUUAGUUGCCAGCAUUUAGUUGGGCACUCUAAAGGGACUGCCGACGUUAAGUCGGAGGAAGGUGGGGAUGACGUCAAGUCCUCAUGGCCCUUAUGUCCAGGGCUACACACGUGCUACAAUGGCCGUGACAAAGAGUUGCUACUUUGUGAAAACAAGCUAAUCUCAUAAACGCGGCCUCAGUUCGGAUUGCAGGCUGAAA
RNAcentral lists this ribosomal RNA (518 nucleotides) under uncultured bacterium. Its description in RNAcentral is "bacterial SSU rRNA". It matches the Rfam family "Bacterial small subunit ribosomal RNA", at positions 791 to 1310 of the family's 1533-position model. The record is from RNAcentral.